AACAUGUAGUUUCUGCUGCAAAGCUUUUUCAGGACUUGACUUAUAGCAGUGCAGCCAUCGGCCAGUCAGAGACUCCUUCUAUCAAAAAACCAACUUUUGCACGAAGGACCAAAAGCAGUUACAGCACAUCCAUGUAGUCACACCUCUGAGCUCAAAACUGUCCAAGGCUCCAGAAAUCCAGGCAGGAGAGCUGGGAAAGUGAGAAAUCACAAAGGACAGUUUAGACACCUGACAGCAGCCAAAGUACAAGUAUGUCUGGACCAUGUACCGGCGCACAUCUCACCUGGCUGGGCCUCACCAGAAGACUCAAUCUGGGGCUGGAGCAGAAGUCACUUCUGCUGGGAGCCCCUAAAUUCUAUGUGGCAGGCACCAACUUGCAGGUUCUAGAUCAGCAGAGG
This is a long non-coding RNA of Trachemys scripta elegans, 398 nucleotides long. RefSeq lists it as uncharacterized. Lineage: Eukaryota; Metazoa; Chordata; Testudines; Emydidae. The record is from RefSeq and is a predicted model, not a curated record. The transcript has 4 exons.